Parelaphostrongylus tenuis is the source of this 71-nucleotide non-coding RNA. The record is from the annotation of a GenBank genome assembly. Lineage: Eukaryota; Metazoa; Nematoda; Chromadorea; Rhabditida; Metastrongylidae.
GCGUCGGUGGUGUAGUGGCAGCACGCACCCCUGGUAUGGGUGAAACCUUGGAUCAACUCCCGCUUGAGGUC